UACGUAGGGUGCAAGCGUUAAUCGGAAUUACUGGGCGUAAAGCGUGCGCAGGCGGUUUUGUAAGUUUGUCGUGAAAGCCCCGGGCUCAACCUGGGAAUUGCGAUGAAGACUGCAAGGCUUGAAUCUGGCAGAGGGGGGUAGAAUUCCACGUGUAGCAGUGAAAUGCGUAGAGAUGUGGAGGAACACCGAUGGCGAAGGCAGCCCCCUGGGUCAAGAUUGACGCUCGAUGCACGAAACGCGUGGGAGCAAACCAGG
This 255-nucleotide ribosomal RNA is filed under the name uncultured bacterium. RNAcentral's name for it is "partial 16S ribosomal RNA". It matches the Rfam family "Bacterial small subunit ribosomal RNA", at positions 524 to 777 of the family's 1533-position model. The record is from RNAcentral.